UGGGGAAUAUUGCACAAUGGGCGCAAGCCUGAUGCAGCCAUGCCGCGUGUAUGAAGAAGGCCUUCGGGUUGUAAAGUACUUUCAGCGGGGAGGAAGGUGUUGAGGUUAAUAACCUCAGCAAUUGACGUUACCCGCAGAAGAAGCACCGGCUAACUCCGUGCCAGCAGCCGCGGUGAUACGGAGGGUGCAAGCGUUAAUCGGAAUUACUGGGCGUAAAGCGCACGCAGGCGGUCUGUCAAGUCGGAUGUGAAAUCCCCGGGCUCAACCUGGGAACUGCAUUCGAAACUGGCAGGCUAGAGUCUUGUAGAGGGGGGUAGAAUUCCAGGUGUAGCGGUGAAAUGCGUAGAGAUCUGGAGGAAUACCGGUGGCGAAGGCGGCCCCCUGGACAAAGACUGACGCUCAGGUGCGAAAGCGUGGGGAGCAAACA
Molecule: ribosomal RNA, 427 nt
Filed under: uncultured bacterium
Lineage: Bacteria
Description: partial 16S ribosomal RNA
Rfam family: Bacterial small subunit ribosomal RNA
Source: RNAcentral